Molecule: small nuclear RNA, 191 nt
Organism: Neoarius graeffei (lesser salmon catfish)
Lineage: Eukaryota; Metazoa; Chordata; Actinopteri; Siluriformes; Ariidae
Product: U2 spliceosomal RNA
Exons: 1
Source: RefSeq, a predicted model, not a curated record
AUCGCUUCUCGGCCUUUUGGCUAAGAUCAAGUGUAGUAUCUGUUCUUAUCAGUUUAAUAUCUGAUAUGUUCUCUAGAUGAGAACGUUAUAUUAAACAGAUUUUUAGAACAGGGAGCUGGAAUAAGAGCUUGUUCUUUCUGCUCCAUGCAUCAGCCUGGUAUUGCAGUAUCUCCAGGGAUGGUGCCUAUAUU